AGAGUUUGAUUAUGGCUCAGAUUGAACGCUGGCGGAAUGCUUUACACAUGCAAGUCGAACGGCAGCACGGGAGCUUGCUCCUGGUGGCGAGUGGCGAACGGGUGAGUAAUGCGUCGGAACGUACCGAGUAAUGGGGGAUAACGCAGCGAAAGCUGUGCUAAUACCGCAUACGCCCUGAGGGGGAAAGUGGGGGAUCGCAAGACCUCACGUUAUUCGAGCGGCCGACGUCUGAUUAGCUAGUUGGUGGGGUAAAGGCUCACCAAGGUGACGAUCAGUAGCGGGUCUGAGAGGAUGAUCCGUCACACUGGAACUGAGACACGGUCCAGACUCCUACGGGAGGCAGCAGUGGGGAAUUUUGGACAAUGGGGGCAACCCUGAUCCAGCCAUUCCGCGUGAGUGAAGAAGGCCUUCGGGUUGUAAAGCUCUUUCAGCCGGAACGAAACGGUACGCACUAAUAUUGUGUGCUAAUGACGGUACCGGCAGAAGAAGCACCGGCUAACUACGUGCCAGCAGCCGCGGUAAUACGUAGGGUGCGAGCGUUAAUCGGAAUUACUGGGCGUAAAGCGUGCGCAGGCGGAUUGUUAAGCAAGAUGUGAAAUCCCCGGGCUUAACCUGGGAAUGGCAUUUUGAACUGGCAGUCUAGAGUGUGUCAGAGGGGGGUGGAAUUCCACGUGUAGCAGUGAAAUGCGUAGAUAUGUGGAGGAACACCAAUGGCGAAGGCAGCCCCCUGGGAUAACACUGACGCUCAUGUACGAAAGCGUGGGUAGCAAACAGGAUUAGAUACCCUGGUAGUCCACGCCCUAAACGAUGUCAACUGGUUGUUGGGGGGAGUGAAAUCCCUUAGUAACGAAGCUAACGCGUGAAGUUGACCGCCUGGGGAGUACGGUCGCAAGAUUAAAACUCAAA
This 906-nucleotide ribosomal RNA is filed under the name uncultured bacterium. Its description in RNAcentral is "bacterial SSU rRNA". It matches the Rfam family "Bacterial small subunit ribosomal RNA", at positions 8 to 905 of the family's 1533-position model. The record is from RNAcentral.